This 352-nucleotide unclassified non-coding RNA is filed under the name soil metagenome. Its description in RNAcentral is "partial contains 5.8S ribosomal RNA, internal transcribed spacer 2, and large subunit ribosomal RNA". The stretch from base 1 to 120 matches the Rfam family "5.8S ribosomal RNA", at positions 35 to 154 of the family's 154-position model. The record is from RNAcentral.
GAUGAAGAACGUAGCGAAAUGCGAUAAGUAAUGUGAAUUGCAGAAUUCAGUGAAUCAUCGAAUCUUUGAACGCACAUUGCGCCCGCCAGUAUUCUGGCGGGCAUGCCUGUUCGAGCGUCAUUACAACCCUCAGGCCCCCGGGCCUGGCGUUGGGGAUCGGCGGAGCCCCCCGUGGGCACACGCCGUCCCCCAAAUACAGUGGCGGUCCCGCCGCAGCUUCCAUCGCGUAGUAGCUAACACCUCGCGACUGGAGAGCGGCGCGGCCACGCCGUAAAACACCCAACUCUUCUGAAGUUGACCUCGAAUCAGGUAGGAACACCCGCUGAACUUAAGCAUAUCAAUAAGCGGAGGA